RNAcentral lists this ribosomal RNA (483 nucleotides) under uncultured bacterium. Its description in RNAcentral is "bacterial SSU rRNA". It matches the Rfam family "Bacterial small subunit ribosomal RNA", at positions 501 to 987 of the family's 1533-position model. The record is from RNAcentral.
CUACGUGCCAGCAGCCGCGGUAAUACGGAAGGUCCAGGCGUUAUCCGGAUUUAUUGGGUUUAAAGGGAGUGUAGGCGGUUUGUUAAGCGUGUUGUGAAAUUUAGGUGCUCAACAUUUAACUUGCAGCGCGAACUGUCAGACUUGAGUACACGCAACGUAUGCGGAAUUCAUGGUGUAGCGGUGAAAUGCUUAGAUAUCAUGAAGAACUCCGAUUGCGAAGGCAGCAUACGGGAGUGUAACUGACGCUUAAGCUCGAAGGUGCGGGUAUCGAACAGGAUUAGAUACCCUGGUAGUCCGCACAGUAAACGAUGGAUGCCCGCUGUUAGCGCCUGGCGUUAGCGGCUAAGCGAAAGCAUUAAGCAUCCCACCUGGGGAGUACGCCGGCAACGGUGAAACUCAAAGGAAUUGACGGGGGCCCGCACAAGCGGCGGAGCAUGCGGAUUAAUUCGAUGCAACGCGAAGAACCUUACCAAGGCUUGACAU